UGAGCCGUCACCCUAUAGCAACCUAGCCAAGUACAAGUGUGGUGCCAUGUAUUCAAUAAAAUCAGCACCUUUCAUGUGCCGCCAUCUCUGGAGGUUGGAAGGGAUAAAUUGUUGAUAAGUAGCUAGGUCACAAAUUUUGGAUGAAAUAGUUGAUCACUAGUUAGAGCAAUUAUGGUUUUUUACAAUUAUGGAACAGCAUGCUCUCG
Molecule: long non-coding RNA, 206 nt
Filed under: Phoenix dactylifera (date palm)
Lineage: Eukaryota; Viridiplantae; Streptophyta; Magnoliopsida; Arecales; Arecaceae
Description: long non-coding RNA (PDAC_LNC003063)
Source: RNAcentral